Molecule: ribosomal RNA, 437 nt
Filed under: uncultured anaerobic ammonium-oxidizing bacterium
Lineage: Bacteria
Description: bacterial SSU rRNA
Rfam family: Bacterial small subunit ribosomal RNA
Source: RNAcentral
GUGACGAAGCGACGCCGCGUGUGGGAAGAAGGCCUUCGGGUUGUAAAUCACUGUCGGGAGUUACGAAAUGCAAGGAUAUGAAUAGUAUCUUUGCUUGUCUAAGGCUCCGGAGGAAGCCACGUCUAACUAUGUGUCAGCAGCCGCGGUAAUUCCGAGGUGGCCAGCGUCGUUCGGAAUUAUUGGGCGUAAAGAGCACGUAGGCGGCUACGUAAGUCGGUUGUGAAAGCCUUCCGCUCACCGGGAGAACAGCAUCCGAUCCCGCAUGGUUUGAGUGCGGGAGGGGAGAGUGGAACUUCUGGUGGAGCGGUGAAAUGCGUAGAUAUCAGAAGGAACGCCGGCGGCGAAAGCGGCUCUCUGGCCCAUAAUCGACGCAGAUUGUGAGAAAGGUCGGGGAGCAACCGGGAUUAGACACCCCGGUAGUCCUAGCCGUAAACGAG